RNAcentral lists this ribosomal RNA (398 nucleotides) under uncultured bacterium. Its description in RNAcentral is "partial 16S ribosomal RNA". It matches the Rfam family "Bacterial small subunit ribosomal RNA", at positions 360 to 776 of the family's 1533-position model. The record is from RNAcentral.
AAUAUUGCACAAUGGAGGAAACUCUGAUGCAGCGACGCCGCGUGACCGAUGAAGGCAUUCGCGUCGUACAGUACUGUCCUAGGGGACGAUAAUGACGGUGCCAUAGGAGGAGGAUACGGCUAACUACGUGCCAGCAGCCGCGGUAAUACGUAGGGGGAAAGCGUCGUCCGGAUUAAGUGGGCGUAAAGGGUUCGGAGGCGGCCUUUUAAGUCAGAUGUGAAAGACUACAGCUAAACUGGGGUAAGCAUUUGAAACUGAAAGGCUUGAGUUAAGGAAAGGAAAGUGGAAUUCCUAGUGUAGCGGUGAAAUGCGUAGAUAUUAGGAGGAAUACCAGUGGCGAAGGCGACUUUCUGGACUUAUACUGACGCUAAAGAACGAAAGCGUGGGGGGCAAACAGG